Molecule: ribosomal RNA, 329 nt
Filed under: Metamycoplasma hominis
Lineage: Bacteria; Bacillati; Mycoplasmatota; Mycoplasmoidales; Metamycoplasmataceae
Description: bacterial SSU rRNA
Rfam family: Bacterial small subunit ribosomal RNA
Source: RNAcentral
UGGCUAAUGCCGGAUACGCAUGGAACCGCAUGGUUCCGUUGUGAAAGGCGCUGUAAGGCGCCACUAAAAGAUGAGGGUGCGGAACAUUAGUUAGUUGGUGAGGUAAUGGCCCACCAAGACUAUGAUGUUUAGCCGGGUCGAGAGACUGAACGGCCACAUUGGGACUGAGAUACGGCCCAAACUCCUACGGGAGGCAGCAGUAGGGAAUAUUCCACAAUGAGCGAAAGCUUGAUGGAGCGACACAGCGUGCACGAUGAAGGUCUUCGGAUUGUAAAGUGCUGUUAUAAGGGAAGAACAUUUGCAAUAGGAAAUGAUUGCAGACUGACGGU